Molecule: long non-coding RNA, 297 nt
Filed under: Oryza sativa (Asian cultivated rice)
Lineage: Eukaryota; Viridiplantae; Streptophyta; Magnoliopsida; Poales; Poaceae
Description: long non-coding RNA (OSAT_LNC000585)
Source: RNAcentral
AGAAAGACCCUGAGGUUGUUUUGCUCAGCAAGUUCGAAGAUGACCACUACAACCGUGUCCGUUACACGCUUGCGUCUUAUAUCAUCAACGAGAACUCAACUGGUGAAGUGAAAUUUAGCCCAAUGAGGCGAGUAUUGUUGGAGAUGAUUGAGAAAGCGUUUUCAACCAUAAACCUUGAAACGCACACUGGAACUCACCCAAGGAUUGGAGUCAUUGAUGACAUGUCCUUCCACCCCUUGAAUCAAGCCACAAUGGAAGAUGCUGCUCAACUGGCUAAGACUGUGGCCUCUGACAUUG